This 843-nucleotide ribosomal RNA is filed under the name Fusarium concolor. RNAcentral's name for it is "partial 28S large subunit ribosomal RNA". It matches the Rfam family "Eukaryotic large subunit ribosomal RNA", at positions 66 to 938 of the family's 3401-position model. Lineage: Eukaryota; Fungi; Ascomycota; Sordariomycetes; Hypocreales; Nectriaceae. The record is from RNAcentral.
CAACAGGGAUUGCCCUAGUAACGGCGAAGUGAAGCGGCAACAGCUCAAAUUUGAAAUCUGGCUCUCGGGCCCGAGUUGUAAUUUGUAGAGGAUGCUUUUGAUGCGGUGCCUUCCGAGUUCCCUGGAACGGGACGCCAUAGAGGGUGAGAGCCCCGUCUGGUUGGAUGCCAAAUCUCUGUAAAGCUCCUUCAACGAGUCGAGUAGUUUGGGAAUGCUGCUCUAAAUGGGAGGUAUAUGUCUUCUAAAGCUAAAUACCGGCCAGAGACCGAUAGCGCACAAGUAGAGUGAUCGAAAGAUGAAAAGCACUUUGAAAAGAGAGUUAAAAAGUACGUGAAAUUGUUGAAAGGGAAGCGUUUAUGACCAGACUUGGGCUUGUUUAAUCAUCCGGGCUUCUGCCCGGUGCACUUGUUCAGCCCAGGCCAGCAUCAUUUUUCGCCGGGGGAUAAAGGCGGCGGGAAUGUGGCUCUCUUCGGGGAGUGUUAUAGCCCAUCGUGUAAUACCCUGGCGGGGAAUGAGGUUCGCGCAUCUGCAAGGAUGCUGGCGUAAUGGUCAUCAACGACCCGUCUUGAAACACGGACCAAGGAGUCGUCUUCGUAUGCGAGUGUUCGGGUGUCAAACCCCUACGCGUAAUGAAAGUGAACGCAGGUGAGAGCUUCGGCGCAUCAUCGACCGAUCCUGAUGUUCUCGGAUGGAUUUGAGUAAGAGCAUACGGGGCCGGACCCGAAAGAAGGUGAACUAUGCCUGGUAUAGGGUGAAGCCAGAGGAAACUCUGGUGGAGCUCGCAGCGGUUCUGACGUGCAAAUCGAUCGUCAAAUAUGGGCAUGGGGGCGAAAGACUAAUCGA